This 470-nucleotide ribosomal RNA is filed under the name uncultured Alphaproteobacteria bacterium. Its description in RNAcentral is "bacterial SSU rRNA". It matches the Rfam family "Bacterial small subunit ribosomal RNA", at positions 9 to 526 of the family's 1533-position model. Lineage: Bacteria; Pseudomonadati; Pseudomonadota; Alphaproteobacteria. The record is from RNAcentral.
GAGUUUGAUCUUGGCUCAGAACGAACGCUGGCGGCAGGCUUAACACAUGCAAGUCGAGCGCCCCGCAAGGGGAGCGGCAGACGGGUGAGUAACGCGUGGGAAUCUACCUUUUGCUACGGAAUAACUCAGGGAAACUUGUGCUAAUACCGUAUGUGCCCUUCGGGGGAAAGAUUUAUCGGCAAAGGAUGAGCCCGCGUUGGAUUAGCUAGUUGGUGGGGUAAAGGCCUACCAAGGCGACGAUCCAUAGCUGGUCUGAGAGGAUGAUCAGCCACAUUGGGACUGAGACACGGCCCAAACUCCUACGGGAGGCAGCAGUGGGGAAUAUUGGACAAUGGGCGCAAGCCUGAUCCAGCCAUGCCGCGUGAGUGAUGAAGGCCUUAGGGUUGUAAAGCUCUUUCACCGGUGAAGAUAAUGACGGUAACCGGAGAAGAAGCCCCGGCUAACUUCGUGCCAGCAGCCGCCGCAGUAAC